UGCUUUAUUCUGUUUCUCAGAAUAACCACAUUCUUGCCACAUGAUUUCAUUGUACAGGAUUUGUAGGUUCUUUUGCGUUUUAUCCAUCUGUGUAUUUACUGCUGGUCUCCUGGGAAGAGAGAAGACAGGUUAUUUCAGAAAUACAAACCCAAAGCAGAAACAUUCCCUCCACGAGACUGCUCUGAAAUUAGAUUAGUUUGUCAGAUUAGAUUGGAAAGGAAUCUUAAAUCAUUUCGUACAAACUGUUCAUUUUGUAGAUGAGGAGGCUAUGUACAAGGGAGGAAAAAUGAUUUGUUAUCCAGUAAAUGGAACCAUGGGCUUUAUCUGAAGAUAGUGAGAAACAGUAGAUCAGCAUGGUUAAAAGGAAGGAAUCAGAUCGCUCUGGGCUCUGCUGCUUACCAGAUGUGCAAUCUGGAAAGUGUUAUUUAAGUUUAUCUGAACACCAGUGUACUUGACUACAAAAUGGAGUUGCUGCAAGAAUUAAAUAAAAAGAUUGCGCGUUCACAGGGAUGAUGCAUCUGAGAGCUCAAUGCAUGUCGGUGAUGACGAAGAUGAAGAUGCUGUGAGUGAUGAUGAUGAGGAGGAGGAGGAGGAUGUAACUGAAGGAGCUUGGGCUUUGCCAUCAGUACAGCUGAGUUAAAGUAUGGAGGCGCAUCACAGAACUGGCAAGUGCCCGCCUCGGGGAGGUCCAUCUUUUCUGGAACUGCAACAUCCCAUCUGUUUUCUUUUAUGCCUUAAUAUCCCCAAAGUCGCUCUCGCCAAAUGCUACAGAGCACCUAUUUAUUGUUUUAAUUAAAGUGAGUAGGUUUGAGGAUUUUAAAAGAGAACUUUGAAGCUAUCCAAGGGGGUUCCAAAAUCAGAGGAGGGAAAGCUUACACCAGAAUGCAUUAGAGUGAGAGCCUCAUCCCAGGCUCCCUGAUUGAGGAGAAAGGGAGCAAAGAAGAUGAAGAAACACUGCAACAAGAAACAUUGAGGCUCAUGUCUUUGUUUUGUUUCUCAAAAGAUUCCAUUAGACUCAAUAUGUCAUUCUAAGUGCACCUGGAUAUAGUGUAGAUUUAGAUAACUCUCUCCUCCCCUUCUGACCUUUAUUAUGACUGCAAAAAUUCUGUGUGUGAGGGAUAAAUAAUGCAUGCUCUCAGUCAAGAAGGGAAAGAAGACCCAAGGAAAAAUUGCAGAAUAGAAUGGGCAAACCAGGAAAACAGAGCUCAGUACAGAAGGGAGUUGGGCAGCCUCUGUUUCUGUUUGGCUCUGUCCUUGAAGAAAGUGAUAAGAAGUGCACAGAUUUUGGAAUUAAACAGACCAUAGUUUGAAUUCUGGAUCUUCCAGUUGUAACCAGGUGGCACUGGGGCCUAUGGUUCAUCUUGCAAUAUCAGAGAAUAUGUAACUGCUGGAAGCUCAUUUGUGCAGAAGCACUGGUUAGACCAAGUCCCAGGAGGGUGGGGACCUGAACUGCCACAUGCACAUUGUACCCAAGAGCCUGGCCCAUGAAAGUAAAUCAGUGGAUACUUGAAUAAAAAGAAUAAUAUGUGC
Chlorocebus sabaeus (green monkey) is the source of this 1530-nucleotide long non-coding RNA. RefSeq lists it as uncharacterized. The record is from RefSeq and is a predicted model, not a curated record. NCBI's taxonomy places the organism in Eukaryota, Metazoa, Chordata, Mammalia, Primates, Cercopithecidae.